Molecule: long non-coding RNA, 295 nt
Filed under: Zostera marina
Lineage: Eukaryota; Viridiplantae; Streptophyta; Magnoliopsida; Alismatales; Zosteraceae
Description: long non-coding RNA (ZMAR_LNC004990)
Source: RNAcentral
GGUUGGAACUUGCAGCUGAACGUGCCAAGGUCAUCAUCAAAGACUCGAUGAUUACUGAUCGUGAUGUGAACCUUGAUUCUUCUCGGAAAGAGAACUCCAUACUCUCCGACCAACUGGGAGAGAUUCACGAGGAGAACAAGAAGCUGCUGGAGUCGCAAGAUGAAUACAAGAAAACGAUAAUGCGACUGGAAAAAGCGGACCAGACAACAUCUGAAGUGGUCAACCGUGCAGUUGCGGACGCUCAACGUGCAACUGAGGAAGCUCGACUUGCAACUGAAGAGCUUCAACGUGUGGU